AAUCAACGCUGGCGGCGUGCCUAACACAUGCAAGUCGCACGAGAAAGGGGAGCAAUCCCUGAGUAAAGUGGCGCACGGGUGAGUAACACGUGAAUCAUCUACCUCCGAGUGGGGAAUAACUGAGAGAAAUCUUAGCUAAUACCGCAUAACACUUACGAGUCAAAGCAGCAAUGCGCUUGGAGAGGAGUUCGCGGCCGAUUAGUUAGUUGGCGGGGUAAUGGCCCACCAAGACGAUGAUCGGUAUCCGGCCUGAGAGGGCGCACGGACACACUGGAACUGAAACACGGUCCAGACUCCUACGGGAGGCAGCAGUGGGGAAUUUUGCGCAAUGGGGGAAACCCUGACGCAGCAACGCCGCGUGGAGGAUGAAGUAUCUUGGUACGUAAACUCCUUUCGAUUGGGAAGAUAAUGACGGUACCAAUAGAAGAAGCCCCGGCUAACUUCGUGCCAGCGCCGCAGU
This 460-nucleotide ribosomal RNA is filed under the name uncultured bacterium. Its description in RNAcentral is "bacterial SSU rRNA". It matches the Rfam family "Bacterial small subunit ribosomal RNA", at positions 32 to 521 of the family's 1533-position model. The record is from RNAcentral.